This 85-nucleotide microRNA precursor is filed under the name Fukomys damarensis (Damara mole-rat). RNAcentral describes it as "miRNA (ENSFDAG00000002077.1)". It matches the Rfam family "mir-204 microRNA precursor family". Lineage: Eukaryota; Metazoa; Chordata; Mammalia; Rodentia; Bathyergidae. The record is from RNAcentral.
GUGACUUGUGGGCUUCCCUUUGUCAUCCUUUGCCUAGGGCUCUGAGCAGGGCAAGGACAGCAAAGGGCUGCUCAGUUGUCACCUC